Non-coding RNA from Equus caballus (horse), 3978 nucleotides. Lineage: Eukaryota; Metazoa; Chordata; Mammalia; Perissodactyla; Equidae. The record is from RefSeq and is a predicted model, not a curated record.
CUGACUAGGAUCCCAUUCUGCUUUCGCCUUCGGGCGGUCCUGCCUCGCUUGGAAACGCUGCUACGUUGCUCCUGGUGGAUGAGCUUGCGUUCGUUUUGAGUUUGAGAACGCUGGAUGCAAAGAUGAGGAGUCUUGAUGGCUGAGGCUUUUGGUGUCCCCUCACUCGGGGGCCUCCCUCUCUUCCCGCCUCCCCCCGCCUCCCCACCCACCCCCUCACACCCGACCCCUACCACCCCAGGGCCCCGGCCGGGCCCCGCCCCUCCAGGCCGCAUCUGUCAGAGGGAGUUGAAAAGCCUCCUGACAGGACACGUCCUCCCUCAGCAGCCAGCCCUUCCUGGCUCCCUGGCUUCAGCUUUCCGUUCGCGUGGCUCGGGCAGCCUUUCGCAUCUUCUUUGCACCUGCCUGUGUUUGCAACAGAGGACCGUGGCCAAGGGAUCCAGGAAACCGGGAGGAGAGCUGGCUUCCGGGGAGGUGAAUGGGAAGGACAGGGAGGCAGAGAGGGAGCCUUGCCUCAGAGAACGGACUUUGAACCCCCGAAGGGAAAAGUCCUCCAGAUAAACCACGUCUUCCCCACCGAAUCCAAGAGCCAUACUCGCUCGCUGUGGAAAAAUGGGGACAUCCCGGUCAAAGCAGGACGAGAGAGGACCCAAAGCUCCCUCCUCUCCCCGUUCAGCCAUCGUCGUCCUGGGAGGGAGUCUCUUCACGGUUCGCUUCUCCUGCCGGCCCCGUUUCCCCUCCUGCCAACCCAGAGCCAGUUGCUGACCCUCAAUUUCGCCCCCGCUGGCUCGGCGUUUUGUCUGACUUUUCUUCCCUGUCACUUCAAGGUUUGCUUGUUCAUGAUCCUUUCUCCUGUGAGGUCUUUUGGUACAAUGAAGGCAAGUUCAUUUGUCACCUAUCGGACUGGGGUAUCCUGGGCAAUGUGUCCACCUGCACUUGAACAGAAUGAGGCCUGUGCUGUCAUCGGGAAGGCCUUGUCGAUGUCUGGUAGAUGGAGCUGCUUUCUAGCGUCCUGUUCUUGGUCCUGACUUUUCUGCCUUGUCCUUCUGUCAUCCCACACAUUCCAAGGUUGCCCCUCAGAAGGAGGAAAAGACCGAGAAUGACGGAGCAUUGAGAUAAACAAUGACAUUCACAGACACAUGCACAUGCUCGCUAACACAAACAGAGAGAGAGAGUUUUGGUGCCUGUCUAUUGUUCCUCAGUGUCCAUGUCAUGGUGUAUUUUUCUUAGUUUCCCUGGUCUCUAGACUCCCUGUCUGCAUGUUUUUGGCCCUCAGGGUUGAUCGCCAGCCCCAGGGCCCCUUUUUCUUGCUCAGCUCAGCUGCUGCACCCCGCCCUCAUGUGAGGUGGUGGUCUCUUGUGCUGAGCUUCUGUAUGUCAAUAUCAGUGUCUCUCUGUGUCCACUGGGUGUCUGUCUAGGUCUGUUCUUGGAUCCUCUCAAUUUCUUUGUCUGUCUCUGUAUUUCUCAGGUCCCUCAUUCAGGAGCUGUCCAGGGUCCCCGCGAGGUCUUCAUGGGCACGGGUUCUUGGUCUUUCUGCACAUUCUUGGGGCAAAAGUGGCCCCAGAGGAAGGGUGGCGUGGUUCUUCCAAUUUCCUCUGCUUGCGGUGAUGGCUCCAGUAGUGUUUUGGCAAGUUGGGACCAGGCUAGGGCAGCGGCGGUGGCUGUAGUCCCGGUUGGGUGGCUCCUCUGCGCAGAGGGGACUCAGAGGACCACUGACCCUGGGCCCUGACACCCUGAUGCUGCGAUGCCCCAAUGCCCCAGACCACAUGUCCUUCAACAGCCUGAUCUCCUGCAUUGCCCGCUGUAUCUGAGUGGGCAGGGGUCCUGGAGAUUCCUUGGAUGUAGUGGGAGAGAGCCUAGACUUGUGCCCCGCCACCUCCUCCACACAACUCCUAUGGUGCUAUAAGCCUGUUGGGCCCUGGGCAGGCAGCAGGGCAUUGCCCUGCAGGGUUUGUUUCCUGUUUUUCUGUGACAGAUGGAUGCAAUGGGAGUCAUUGGGAAGGCAUUGGUGUUUCUCACUUUUUAUCUGGCUUUAAUCGGCCUUGUGGCCUCUGAUAUAUAGCAGAGCAUGUUCAAGCUCACCUCUUGGAUUCCCAAGGAAUGACUUCAAAGUAAUGCAGUGAUAAACUGUUUUAGGCAGAGUGAUGUGGAUGAUGUCCUAGGGAUGGAGAAGGCAAACGGGGGAAGAACUGUGGGUUCCUGAAGGACCAUGUGAAGGAAUAUGUCUCUCCAAAAGGAACACCCACCUGCACUGUAAUGUGGGACAAUAUAUAGUGAUGUGCUGCUGAAAUUUGGGGAGUUAUUUGCAGCAGGACAAGGAGGAGCCAGCCCUGCACAAACCCGGGGAGAGUUGCCUGGCAGAAGGCCCAACACAGCAGACGCUUGGAGGCAGAAUCUCCCUCAGUGCAAGGCCACGUGGGCCUCUCUCCAUCUCCACCCAUAACACAGAGGCUUGUUCCCCAGAGCGAGGGAUCUGAGGGAGAGAGAGAGAACCAGGGCAGAGGGAGCAGCGGCCAGGCAGUGACUGUCUAUAACCAAGUCUUGGAAGAAGCGGCACUGGGUCACUUUGCAUCUUCUGUGGAAUAGAAGUUUGUACAGACUGUGCUGUGUGUGUGGAGGGGAGAGUCACACGGGUGUGAGAGGUGGCAAAGACACUGAGGCUCCCACUUGGCUUCCGGGCACUGUCUACAGAGCACCACAUGGGAGGCCAGACAGGUGUGGAUCAGCAGGGUGCUCCACUCCUUCUCCCUGAGGAGAGGAAGAUGCCCCACGCCACCAACAGAGUCCACCACCGGCUCAGGGUGGAAGUGCAUUGACAGAGAACAGGAAUGAGGCCUGCAUGGUGUGGACCGUCCAGGCAGGGAUGCUGCAGAAGCUACUGGAGCACCUGGUGCCCGCCUUCCUGGGCAGCAGCCCCACCUACGUCCCCACCCUUCUGGGCACCUGCAGAGCUUUUGCCACCACCCGACAGGUACUGGUCCUGCUGUUUAAAAGGACCAUUUCUUCCAUUCUGGGCACCUGGCUGGACCAGUACUCUGAGGGUUUUUUCAGGCCCCAGAAUCUCCCCACCUGAAGAUUUUGUUGCCCUACAUGGGGCUCAACAUGCAGGCUCGGGACCUGGAGUGCCAGGCCAACCUUCUCUUGGCACAGCUCAAGCACCAUGCGUCCACUGAGGCAGAGACUGAGGCGCCAGCUCCAGAGCAGGAUCCAGAACCACCUCAAGAGCUAACACGGGCUCCAACUCCAGUGCCCGCUGCAGCUCAGAGCCACAGAUCCAGAUUCAGAGCCAGAGCAGACUCAAGCCUGCUUGACAGCUGUCAUUCAAGUUCAAGAGCAGGAACAACCACCUGUGUCAUCGCAGCAACUGGUCUCAGCUCCUGAGCUGGAGCACCAGAGAAUUCCUUCCUCUCUCUUAUUAUUGCAUUUUAAAAAUUUUGGUUUUCAUCUUACAUAGACUUAACGGUUUCCUAUAUUUCAUCUUAUAAUAUUGACUAAAAUAAAUUUUAACUAUUUGAUCCUUUUAAAUUGUACAUUUAAGCAGCAUGAAGAACACUCACAACGUUGCACAGCCGUGACCACUCUCUAGGUCAGGGACAUUUUCGUCAUAGAGAAACCCUGUCAAUCAGUCAGCCGUCCUUCCUCUGAGCCCCAGUCCUGGCAACCACCCAUCUCCUUUCUGUGUCUAUGAAUUUACCUCUCCUGGAUUUUUCAUAUAAGUGGAAUCAGACAAUGUGUGGCCAUUUGUAUCUGGCUACGUAGUGUAUGAGGAGAGUGCUUGAAAUUUUUUUUUGUUUUUAAUAAAAAUAAUUCUUUAUUAAGAAGGAAAAUCCAUGAUAGAUCAAAGAUUAUGUAAAAAUGAAGCCCCAAUCAUAAAUAUAUUAAUUAUCUUUGGAUAGAGAUCACUUUUAUAAAUAUGAUGCAAGAGAUGGAAACCGUAAGGGAAAUGUCUGGGGCAGUGAGGCACCGUGAAAAUCUUUUAUU